AGCGUACACGGUGGAUGCCCUGGCAGUCAGAGGCGAUGAAGGACGUGCUAAUCUGCGAUAAGCGUCGGUAAGGUGAUAUGAACCGUUAUAACCGGCGAUUUCCGAAUGGGGAAACCCAGUGUGUUUCGACACACUAUCAUUAACUGAAUCCAUAGGUUAAUGAGGCGAACCGGGGGAACUGAAACAUCUAAGUACCCCGAGGAAAAGAAAUCAACCGAGAUUCCCCCAGUAGCGGCGAGCGAACGGGGAGCAGCCCAGAGCCUGAAUCAGUGUGUGUGUUAGUGGAAGCGUCUGGAAAGGCGCGCGAUACAGGGUGACAGCCCCGUACACAAAAAUGCACAUACUGUGAGCUCGAUGAGUAGGGCGGGACACGUGGUAUCCUGUCUGAAUAUGGGGGGACCAUCCUCCAAGGCUAAAUACUCCUGACUGACCGAUAGUGAACCAGUACCGUGAGGGAAAGGCGAAAAGAACCCCGGCGAGGGGAGUGAAAAAGAACCUGAAACCGUGUACGUACAAGCAGUGGGAGCCUCUUUAUGGGGUGACUGCGUACCUUUUGUAUAAUGGGUCAGCGACUUAUAUUCUGUAGCAAGGUUAACCGAAUAGGGGAGCCGAAGGGAAACCGAGUCUUAACUGGGCGUUAAGUUGCAGGGUAUAGACCCGAAACCCGGUGAUCUAGCCAUGGGCAGGUUGAAGGUUGGGUAACACUAACUGGAGGACCGAACCGACUAAUGUUGAAAAAUUAGCGGAUGACUUGUGGCUGGGGGUGAAAGGCCAAUCAAACCGGGAGAUAGCUGGUUCUCCCCGAAAGCUAUUUAGGUAGCGCCUCGUGAAUUCAUCUCCGGGGGUAGAGCACUGUUUCGGCAAGGGGGUCAUCCCGACUUACCAACCCGAUGCAAACUGCGAAUACCGGAGAAUGUUAUCACGGGAGACACACGGCGGGUGCUAACGUCCGUCGUGAAGAGGGAAACAACCCAGACCGCCAGCUAAGGUCCCAAAGUCAUGGUUAAGUGGGAAACGAUGUGGGAAGGCCCAGACAGCCAGGAUGUUGGCUUAGAAGCAGCCAUCAUUUAAAGAAAGCGUAAUAGCUCACUGGUCGAGUCGGCCUGCGCGGAAGAUGUAACGGGGCUAAACCAUGCACCGAAGCUGCGGCAGCGACGCUUAUGCGUUGUUGGGUAGGGGAGCGUUCUGUAAGCCUGCGAAGGUGGCCUGUGAGGGUUGCUGGAGGUAUCAGAAGUGCGAAUGCUGACAUAAGUAACGAUAAAGCGGGUGAAAAGCCCGCUCGCCGGAAGACCAAGGGUUCCUGUCCAACGUUAAUCGGGGCAGGGUGAGUCGACCCCUAAGGCGAGGCCGAAAGGCGUAGUCGAUGGGAAACAGGUUAAUAUUCCUGUACUUGGUGUUACUGCGAAGGGGGGACGGAGAAGGCUAUGUUGGCCGGGCGACGGUUGUCCCGGUUUAAGCGUGUAGGCUGAUUUUCCAGGCAAAUCCGGAAAAUCAAGGCUGAGGCGUGAUGACGAGGCACUACGGUGCUGAAGCAACAAAUGCCCUGCUUCCAGGAAAAGCCUCUAAGCAUCAGGUAACAUCAAAUCGUACCCCAAACCGACACAGGUGGUCAGGUAGAGAAUACCAAGGCGCUUGAGAGAACUCGGGUGAAGGAACUAGGCAAAAUGGUGCCGUAACUUCGGGAGAAGGCACGCUGAUAUGUAGGUGAAGUCCCUUGCGGAUGGAGCUGAAAUCAGUCGAAGAUACCAGCUGGCUGCAACUGUUUAUUAAAAACACAGCACUGUGCAAACACGAAAGUGGACGUAUACGGUGUGACGCCUGCCCGGUGCCGGAAGGUUAAUUGAUGGGGUUAGCGGUAACGCGAAGCUCUUGAUCGAAGCCCCGGUAAACGGCGGCCGUAACUAUAACGGUCCUAAGGUAGCGAAAUUCCUUGUCGGGUAAGUUCCGACCUGCACGAAUGGCGUAAUGAUGGCCAGGCUGUCUCCACCCGAGACUCAGUGAAAUUGAACUCGCUGUGAAGAUGCAGUGUACCCGCGGCAAGACGGAAAGACCCCGUGAACCUUUACUAUAGCUUGACACUGAACAUUGAGCCUUGAUGUGUAGGAUAGGUGGGAGGCUUUGAAGUGUGGACGCCAGUCUGCAUGGAGCCGGCCUUGAAAUACCACCCUUUAAUGUUUGAUGUUCUAACGUUGACCCGUUAUCCGGGUUGCGGACAGUGUCUGGUGGGUAGUUUGACUGGGGCGGUCUCCUCCUAAAGAGUAACGGAGGAGCACGAAGGUUGGCUAAUCCUGGUCGGACAUCAGGAGGUUAGUGCAAUGGCAUAAGCCAGCUUGACUGCGAGCGUGACGGCGCGAGCAGGUGCGAAAGCAGGUCAUAGUGAUCCGGUGGUUCUGAAUGGAAGGGCCAUCGCUCAACGGAUAAAAGGUACUCCGGGGAUAACAGGCUGAUACCGCCCAAGAGUUCAUAUCGACGGCGGUGUUUGGCACCUCGAUGUCGGCUCAUCACAUCCUGGGGCUGAAGUAGGUCCCAAGGGUAUGGCUGUUCGCCAUUUAAAGUGGUACGCGAGCUGGGUUUAGAACGUCGUGAGACAGUUCGGUCCCUAUCUGCCGUGGGCGCUGGAGAACUGAGGGGGGCUGCUCCUAGUACGAGAGGACCGGAGUGGACGCAUCACUGGUGUUCGGGUUGUCAUGCCAAUGGCACUGCCCGGUAGCUAAAUGCGGAAGAGAUAAGUGCUGAAAGCAUCUAAGCACGAAACUUGCCCCGAGAUGAGUUCUCCCUGACUCCUUGA
RNAcentral lists this ribosomal RNA (2788 nucleotides) under human gut metagenome. Its description in RNAcentral is "bacterial LSU rRNA". It matches the Rfam family "Bacterial large subunit ribosomal RNA". The record is from RNAcentral.